Molecule: long non-coding RNA, 2122 nt
Organism: Pecten maximus
Lineage: Eukaryota; Metazoa; Mollusca; Bivalvia; Pectinida; Pectinidae
Exons: 2
Source: RefSeq, a predicted model, not a curated record
GGGAAACUAUAGAGGUCUUGUGUACACUAUAGGGGUCUAAUGUACACUAUAGGGGUCUAAUGUACACUAUAUGGGUCUAAUGUACACUACAUGGGUCUAAUGUACACUAUAUGGGUCUAAUGUACACUAUAGAGGUCUAAUGUACACUAUAUGGUCUAAUGUACACUAUAGGGGUCUAAUGUACACUAUAUGGGUCUAAUGUACACUACAUGGGUCUAAUGUACACUAUAUGGGUCUAAUGUACACUAUAGAGGUCUAAUGUACACUAUAGGGGUCUAAUGUACACUAUAGGGGUCUAAUGUACACUAUAGGGGUCUAAUGUACACUACAUGGGUCUAAUGUACACUAUAUGGGUGUCAUGUACACUAUAGAGGUCUAAUGUACACUAUAGGGGUCUAAUGUACACUAUAUGGUCUAAUGUACACUAUAUGGUCUAAUGUACACUAUAUGGGUCUAAUGUACACUAUAGGGGUCUCAUGUACACUAUAUCGGUCUCGUGUACACUAUAUGGUCUAAUGUACACUAUAUGGAUCUUAUGUACACUAUAUGGGUCUAAUGUACACUAUAUAGGUCUAAUGUACACUAUAGGGGUCUAAUGUACACUACAUGGGUCUAAUGUACACUAUAUGGGUGUCAUGUACACUAUAUGGGUCUAAUAUACACUAUAUGGGUCUAAUGUACACUAUAUGGGUGUCAUGUACACUAUAUGGGUCUAAUGUACACUAUAUGGGUCUAAUGUACAAUAUAUGGGUCUAAUGUACACUAUAUGGGUCUAAUGUACACUAUAUGGGUCUAAUGUACACUAUAUGGGUCUAAUGUACACUAUAUGGGUGUCAUGUACACUAUAUGGGUCUAAUGUACACUAUAUGGGUGUCAUGUACACUAUAUGGGUCUAAUGUACACUAUAUGGGUGUCAUGUACACUAUAUGGGUCUAAUGUACACUAUAUGGGUCUCAUGUACACUAUAGGGGUCUAAUGUACACUAUAUGGGUCUAAUGUACACUACAUGGGUCUAAUGUACACUAUAUGGGUGUCAUGUACACUAUAUGGGUCUAAUAUACACUAUAGGGGUCUAAUGUACACUAUAUGGGUAUAAUGUACACUACAUGGGUCUAAUGUACACUAUAUGGGUGUCAUGUACACUAUAUGGGUCUAAUAUACACUAUAUGGGUCUAAUGUACACUAUAUGGGUGUCAUGUACACUAUAUGGGUCUAAUGUACAUUUAUGGGUCUGAUGUACACUAUAUGGGUCUAAUGUACACUAUAUGGGUGUCAUGUACACUAUAUGGGUCUAAUGUACACUAUAUGGGUGUCAUGUACACUAUAUGGGUCUAAUGUACACUAUAUGGGUGUCAUGUACACUAUAUGGGUGUCAUGUACACUAUAGGGGUCUAAUGUACACUAUAGGGGUCUAAUGUACAAUAUAUGGGUCUAAUAUACACUUAAUGGGUCCACUGUACACUAUAUGGCUCCCAUGAACACAAUAUGGGCCCUGUGAACACUGUAUGGACCAUGUACACUGUAUGGUUCCCAUGUAUAUUAUAUGAGUCCAAUGUAUACUAUAUGGUUUCAAUGUACACUCUUUGGUCCCUGUAGACACUAAAUGGUCCCCAUAUACACUACAUGGACCCUGUAAACAAUAUAUGGGUCCAGUUGGCACACUGUGGUGCCCUCUGCACUCAGGUGAGAAGUACAAUUGCUUGAUUUUAGAAAGAUCAUUAUUUAUCUCAGAAACAUUUUUCUGUUUAUUGCAUAAUUUGUACACUAUUUUUUUUUUAUUUUUUUUUUAUUUUUUUUUUGUUAAGAUUGUGUUAAGUUGUUGUUUGCUAAGAUCAAAAUAUUCUAUGUUUUACAACAUUUUUGAAGCAUAAUGCAUUGCUGUAACUAUCUAAUAUCUCUGAACCUUUCAAAUGAAUAUCCUGUGUGUUUUCGGGGUCUAGGUCAAAGGUCAAACUACAAUGAGCUGGACUCAUUUUGUCAGAUUUUGUUUUCAAGUAUGUUAUGUUUUGCAGUCCUCUAUAUAUUUGUACUGUAUUCUGUGUAUGAUAAAUUGGGUGCAUGAUUAUAAAUUUGUAUGAAAAAGAAAUUUUAAAACUGAAUAAAAAAAAAUGAUUACCAGAAA